Non-coding RNA from Paramuricea clavata, 725 nucleotides. The record is from the annotation of a GenBank genome assembly. Lineage: Eukaryota; Metazoa; Cnidaria; Anthozoa; Malacalcyonacea; Plexauridae.
AGGGACAGGCCUUCGCACCACACUGCUUUGCUGAGUGGUACCUUCUCUACCACGUAGUAGCCACGUAAACGUGUUUCACUAGCAAGCCUCCUACUAAACAUUUCAAUGGAAACCUGCUUUAACGAUCUUCUUCGUGACAUGAUUUCUCCAGGAGAACAGAAAAACUCUUUUCAUGGAUCUGAUGGGGGGAGAGUAUGUUUUUUGAAAUAAAACUCGCUCUACCAGACAUGAAUAUGUUAGUAUUACUCUUUGGUACUGACCAUUGUGUAGACUGUGUAGGUAGCAACAGAUUCAGUCUCGGAUUGAUCAUCAUUGUAGCCAUUGCUGUAGAAUAGUUGUCAUCCUGAUUCGCUCUAAGCUAUGUAAAGUAUCGACUGAUGGGAUAUUUGAGUGACAGAAAUUAUAAAUAAAAAAUUAUAGGUAAAAUGUCAGAAAUUAGGAAAAAAUAAAACAAACAAUGGGUUAUAAAACACAAGAUAAGAUUGACAAAUAUGUUGUCCGGAAAUAUUCACUUUGAUAAUAAGCCACCGCUCCAACAACCACCCUUCCGUCCACCUACCCAUUUUGGAAAAAAACAUUAAUUAGUGGUGGUAGUGUCUCGGCCUUGAUAAUUCGGCAAAGUUCAUUCAAAGAGGCCUAGCCCCCUGUAACAGAUUAUUGAAUAUUUUUAUUUUGGAUAUACGAUUGGCAAUAAAAGGCCACUCCAAAUUUUUUUUCCCAUCCAG